RNAcentral lists this ribosomal RNA (492 nucleotides) under uncultured bacterium. RNAcentral describes it as "partial 16S ribosomal RNA". It matches the Rfam family "Bacterial small subunit ribosomal RNA", at positions 29 to 507 of the family's 1533-position model. The record is from RNAcentral.
AGUGAACGCUGGCGGUAGGCCUAACACAUGCCUGUCGAACGGCAGCACAGUAAGAGCUUGCUCUUACGGGUGGCGAGUGGCGGACGGGUGAGGAAUACAUCGGAAUCUACUUUUUCGUGGGGGAUAACGUAGGGAAACUUACGCUAAUACCGCAUACGACCUACGGGUGAAAGCAGGGGAUCUUCGGACCUUGCGCGAUUGAAUGAGCCGAUGUCGGAUUAGCUAGUUGGCGGGGUAAAGGCCCACCAAGGCGACGAUCCGUAGCUGGUCUGAGAGGAUGAUCAGCCACACUGGAACUGAGACACGGUCCAGACUCCUACGGGAGGCAGCAGUGGGGAAUAUUGGACAAUGGGCGCAAGCCUGAUCCAGCCAUACCGCGUGGGUGAAGAAGGCCUUCGGGUUGUAAAGCCCUUUUGUUGGGAAAGAAAAGCAGCAGGUUAAUACCCCGCUGUUCUGACGGUACCCAAAGAAUAAGCACCGGCUAACUUCGUG